Molecule: ribosomal RNA, 372 nt
Filed under: uncultured bacterium
Lineage: Bacteria
Description: bacterial SSU rRNA
Rfam family: Bacterial small subunit ribosomal RNA
Source: RNAcentral
GAUGAACGCUGGCGGCAUGCCUAAGACAUGCAAGUCGUACGAAGUGGCCCAUUGAUGAUUGAGUGCUUGCACAAGAUUUGAUUUGGAUUCCCACUUAGUGGCGCAAGGGUGAGUAACGCGUAGGUUAUCUGCCUUCGAGUUUGGAAUAACAAUUAGAAAUGAUUGCUAAUGCCGGAUUAUAUUUAAGAUGAUACGUUGUCUUAAAUUAAAAGGAGCCCUUUAAAAGCUUCGCUUGAAGAUGAGCCUGCGUCGUAUUAGCUAGUUGGUGGGGUAAUGGCCUACCAAGGCAACGAUGCGUAGCCGACCUGAGAGGGUGAUCGGCCACACUGGGACUGAGACAGGCCCAGACUCCUACGGGAGACAGCAGUUAGG